UUUUAUAGGGGUCUUUGAGAGGUUUCUUCAUUCAAUGGUCUAGGGCCCACACCAUUAUGCGCCCGGUUAAUGGUGCCAUAAUGGUGUGGGCCAGCUCAAGUAACGGCUGGGAAUCACCUACUCAGGUGUGGGAAUCGUCUACUCAGGUGGGAAUCGCCUACUCAAGGGGAAUCGGCUAUUCCCCACUGGAAUCGGCGAUUCGCCGCCGGA
This 210-nucleotide long non-coding RNA is filed under the name Zostera marina. RNAcentral describes it as "long non-coding RNA (ZMAR_LNC003935)". The record is from RNAcentral. Lineage: Eukaryota; Viridiplantae; Streptophyta; Magnoliopsida; Alismatales; Zosteraceae.